RNAcentral lists this ribosomal RNA (382 nucleotides) under Perkinsus sp. RNAcentral's name for it is "partial small subunit ribosomal RNA". It matches the Rfam family "Eukaryotic small subunit ribosomal RNA", at positions 587 to 975 of the family's 1831-position model. The record is from RNAcentral. Lineage: Eukaryota; Perkinsozoa; Perkinsida; Perkinsidae.
AGCUCCAAUAGCGUAUAUUAAAGUUGUUGCGGUUAAAAAGCUCGUAGUUGGAUUUCUGCCAAGGACGACCGUUCCCCUCUCUGGGUGUAUCUGGUUUGACCGAGGCAUCCUUUUGGAAUACGUCACUGCACUUAACUGGGUGGUACGGACUCCAAAACUUUUACUUUGAGGAAAUUAGAGUGUUUCAAGCAGGCUUCUGCCUUGAAUACAUUAGCAUGGAAUAAUAAGAUAGGACUUCGGUUCUAUUUUGUUGGUUUCUAGAACUGAAGUAAUGAUUAAUAGGGAUAGUCGGGGGCAUUCGUACUUAACUGUCAGAGGUGAAAUUCUUGGAUUUGUUAAAGACGAACUACUGCGAAAGCAUUUGCCAAGGAUGUUUUCAUUG